AGAUCGAUGAUGACUCCCCCAUAAUGCAUUCCUUGGAAAAUCUGAACAAAAUGAGUGAGAACACCUUACCAUCAUUCCCAUCAGAUUGGAGGACC
Small nucleolar RNA from Manis javanica (Malayan pangolin), 95 nucleotides. RefSeq annotates it as small nucleolar RNA SNORD116. NCBI's taxonomy places the organism in Eukaryota, Metazoa, Chordata, Mammalia, Pholidota, Manidae. The record is from RefSeq and is a predicted model, not a curated record.